GAAAUGCGAUAAGUAAUGUGAAUUGCAGAAUUCAGUGAAUCAUCGAAUCUUUGAACGCACCUUGCGCUCCUUGGUAUUCCGAGGAGCAUGCCUGUUUGAGUGUCAUGGAAUUCUCAACUCUAUUUGCUUUUGUGAAUAGAGCUUGGAUUUGGAGGUUUAUUGCUGGUACUUGUGAUCGGCUCCUCUUGAAUGCAUUAGCUCGAACCUUUGCGGAUCAGCUAUCGGUGUGAUAAUUGUCUACGCCGUUGCAGUGAAGCAUAUCAAUGGGCUCGGCUUCCAAUCGUCCUUUACUGGACAAUGACUUUGACCUUUGACCUCAAAUCAGGUAGGAUUACCCGCUGACCUUAAGC
Molecule: unclassified non-coding RNA, 350 nt
Filed under: plant metagenome
Description: partial contains 5.8S ribosomal RNA, internal transcribed spacer 2, and large subunit ribosomal RNA
Rfam family: 5.8S ribosomal RNA (bases 1-105)
Source: RNAcentral